ACGCGAGCUGGGUUCAGAACGUCGUGAGACAGUUCGGUCCCUAUCCGUCGCAGGCGUAGGAAAUUUGAGAAGACCUGUCCUUAGUACGAGAGGACCGGGAUGGACGUACCUCUGGUGUACCAGUUGUCCUGCCAAGGGCAUGGCUGGGUAGCUGUGUACGGAAUGGAUAAGCGCUGAAAGCAUCUAAGCGCGAAGCCAACUUCAAGAUAAGAUUUCCCACCGCAAGGGUAAGACCCCAGAAAGACUAUCUGGUUGAUAGGUCGAAGGUGUAAGUGCAGCAAUGUAUUUAGCUUAUCGAUACUAAUAGGUCGAGGACUUGACCAA
RNAcentral lists this ribosomal RNA (324 nucleotides) under Clostridioides difficile. RNAcentral describes it as "partial 23S ribosomal RNA". It matches the Rfam family "Bacterial large subunit ribosomal RNA", at positions 2598 to 2925 of the family's 2925-position model. Lineage: Bacteria; Bacillati; Bacillota; Clostridia; Peptostreptococcales; Peptostreptococcaceae. The record is from RNAcentral.